Aethina tumida (small hive beetle) is the source of this 1404-nucleotide long non-coding RNA. RefSeq lists it as uncharacterized. The record is from RefSeq and is a predicted model, not a curated record. Lineage: Eukaryota; Metazoa; Arthropoda; Insecta; Coleoptera; Nitidulidae. The transcript has 4 exons.
UCCGGACCGAACCGGGUCCGCCGUCUCGGGCAUUUCGUUUCCGCCAACUCCGAACGCAGAGACGGAAAUCGUUGAGCAGCCAGCGGUCGCCUCGGACGGCGGUGGCUCUCUCGGCCGUCGUUUUUCGGACGCUCCGGACGGCACGACCAUCAGCUACCCCGGUUCGGAAUUAUUAGGCGGCGACGAUGCGGGCGGUUCGCGACCCGUACGGGGAACGUGUGCUUUUGUGGUGUUGGUGCCAGCAGACGGGACUUUUUACUACGCGGAAAUCGCUUUGGAUAGUCGCAGUUCGGUAAAUGCGCAGUGAAAAUUUAUAUAUUCGCAGUGAUGGGAAGAUUUUCUAUUUUUUCCUAUUAUUUAUUUUGUGCAACGGAUCCAAUAAAGACAUGAUUUUUGGAACUUCAAAAUAAACGUACACUGAUUCCUGAGCGCAGACCAAGACGUAACCGAAAAUCGUUAGUCAAACAAUGCACGGGAAGGAGGAAUUUUAAUGUGGAUAAUAGAAGAACGCCAAUGAUCAAUUGCGAAUAAUGACGAUGAAUUUAAUGAAGAGUACAUCGAAUGACGUCGGCAUAUUAUAAAUGAAGUAAAAAACACCUGCGGAUCGGCGACACACAGGCAUUUUUACGUCCUCUAUAAAAAUUACAAGGAACCUUAAAUUGAUAACUUUUUUCUUAUCAUUUUUUAAAUAUCACAUUAUUUGGCUGUUUUAAUGUAGUUGAACAUCGGUGGUCGCACGUGUAACACAACCACACCGUGAGGCACGCAAAAUUGUCCAAAAAUCUCCUAAUUAUAUAAGCAACUUGUUAAAAAUACCGUGAUAAGUUCAAUUGGUUAUUGUGAAGAUAAAAUCAAUUCGUUAAUCGUUUGACAGGUGUUAAUCGCGGAUCGUUUUUCAUAUGUAUACAGGUUUGACAAAAAUGUUCAACUACAUUUUAAUGAUUGUAGAUGUCUAAUUAUUUUUCUUUGUUGCAUGUGCAGGACGGCGAAAAUUGGUGGAGGAUCUGCGUGGGAUUUUCAGACGAAAUUGGUUUUCACAGUGAUUUUAUAAUUUUAUUUAUUUAUGAGAUCAUUGUGAAAGCUGAUUUUGUUAUCGCUUUGUCAUCACAACGAAAUGAAGAAUUAAACCAGCAAGGACUACAAAAAUUGUUUAGGCUUAACUUUAUACUAAUUUAAUUCAUAAAAAAUUACUAGGAUUUAUUUAAACAUUGUAAUUAAGUCACAUACUAUUUGUAUAAUUAUUAAUGUGGCUGUUAUCUAGGUAUAAUAAAAUUAAUAUUAAAUUAAUAUAAAAAAUUUUAUAUUUUACUUUCGACUUAAUUUAUUGUGUUUGCUUUAUGUCGUGUUUUAUGUAUGUCGUAUGAAUGGUAUGUAAAAAUGUUUUAAUAAAAAUUUUUUAAUUGA